RNAcentral lists this ribosomal RNA (1383 nucleotides) under uncultured Campylobacterota bacterium. Its description in RNAcentral is "uncultured Epsilonproteobacteria bacterium 16S ribosomal RNA". It matches the Rfam family "Bacterial small subunit ribosomal RNA". Lineage: Bacteria; Pseudomonadati; Campylobacterota. The record is from RNAcentral.
UGCAAGUCGAACGAGAACGGGUAUAAGUUUACUUAUACUGUCAGCUAAGUGGCGCACGGGUGAGUAAUAUAUAGUUAAUUUGCCAGAAAGUUGGGGAUAAUUGUUGGAAACGACUUGUAAUACCCUAUAUGCCUUUAUUACAUAAGUAAGCAAGGGAAAGCCCAUUUUAUUAUGGACGCUUUUUGAUAAGACUGUACGGUAUCAGUUAGUUGGUGAGGUAAUGGCUCACCAAGACAAUGACACCUAACUGGUUUGAGAGGAUGAUCAGUCACACUGGAACUGAGACACGGUCCAGACUCCUACGGGAGGCAGCAGUGGGGAAUAUUGCACAAUGGACGAAAGUCUGAUGCAGCAACGCCGCGUGGAGGAUGACACAUUUCGGUGCGUAAACUCCUUUUAUAUGAGAAGAUAAUGACGGUAUCAUAUGAAUAAGCACCGGCUAACUCCGUGCCAGCAGCCGCGGUAAUACGGGGGGUGCAAGCGUUACUCGGAAUCACUGGGCGUAAAGAGAAUGUAGGCGGGUAAUUAAGUUGGAAGUGAAAUCCUAUGGCUCAACUAUAGAACUGCUUCCAAAACUGAUUAUCUAGAAUAUGGGAGAGGUAGAUGGAAUUUCUGGUGUAGGGGUAAAAUCCGUAGAGAUCAGAAGGAAUACCGAUUGCGAAGGCGAUCUACUGGAACAUUAUUGACGCUGAGAUUCGAAAGCGUGGGGAGCAAACAGGAUUAGAUACCCUGGUAGUCCACGCCCUAAACGAUGCACACUAGUUGUUGCUAUACUAGAUAUAGCAGUAAUGCAGUUAACACAUUAAGUGUGCCGCCUGGGGAGUACGGUCGCAAGAUUAAAACUCAAAGGAAUAGACGGGGACCCGCACAAGCGGUGGAGCAUGUGGUUUAAUUCGACGAUACGCGAAGAACCUUACCUGGCCUUGACAUAGACAGAAUUUAGUAGAGAUAUAAAAGUGCCAGUUUACUGGAGCUGUUAUACAGGUGCUGCACGGCUGUCGUCAGCUCGUGUCGUGAGAUGUUGGGCUAAAUCCCGCAACGAGCGCAACCCACGUCAUUAGUUACUAACGGUUCGGCCGAGGACUCUAAUGAGACUGCCUGGGUAACCAGGAGGAAGGUGUGGACGACGUCAAGUCAUCAUGGCCCUUACGGCCAGGGCUACACACGUGCUACAAUGGGGUAUACAGAGAGCAGCGAUACCGCGAGGUGGAGCAAAUCUUUAAAAUAUCUCCCAGUUCGGAUAGCACUCUGCAACUCGAGUGCUCGAAGUUGGAAUCGCUAGUAAUCGUAGAUCAGCAAUGCUACGGUGAAUACGUUCCCGGGUCUUGUACUCACCGCCCGUCACACCAUGGGAAUUGAAUUCAUUCGAAGCGGGGAUGCUAA